This 839-nucleotide long non-coding RNA is filed under the name Elaeis guineensis (African oil palm). RNAcentral describes it as "long non-coding RNA (EGUI_LNC021160)". The record is from RNAcentral. Lineage: Eukaryota; Viridiplantae; Streptophyta; Magnoliopsida; Arecales; Arecaceae.
GGAUCAGAUUGUCUCUGGACAGAAAUUAUCAGUACUUUUAUAUAUAAUAUAGAUUUAUUUAGUUUAGAUGACAUUGAGGUCUUGUUUCUCAAUGGAGAAUUGUAGUUGGAGCUGAUGCAAUUCUUUGUUAAGGACAAAAAUUGUCAGGGUCCUGGUUCUCAGUCAAUAGGUAAUAGAACCUUCACCACUAUCCUAUAUGAAUCCUAUGCUCCAGUUUUUAACAAUGACAGUUACAUGAUGACCAAGCAAAUAGAGGAGUAUGUUCAUUUGUGGUAUUGGUGAGACUGCAUAACCAAUUAUUUCCAAUUAAAAAGAGAUUAAUUUUCAAUUCUUUUCCUUUUAUGGUCCUUUUGUGUUAUGAACAUGUUAACUAGUGUCAUCAGGACUGGUGUUAAAAUGCCGUAUUUAAAGCUGCAUUGCCAAUGCUUGGCUGCCAAAAGGCUUUUCCUCAUUAUAUUAAGAACAAUUAUAAUUUCUUUUGCAAAUUUGAUUCAUAAAUAUAUUUGCAGCUUAUCUGCUUGGUGUUGUUGUUAUAUAUAUCUCAUCACCCCACCUUAUAAUGAUACUUUCUUAGCUACUAAUCUCUACCAUAACAUCUAUUAAAUAUUUAUACAGCGUGUUUACACUUUUUUUAAAAAAAAAAAAUUGUUUACAACAUUCACAAUGCUAGCCUUUCAAAAUGCUGGUUGAAAUGUAUAACGGAACUAGACAUUAUAAAUAAUGACAUCAUGAAUGAUACUUGAAUAAGUGGUUCCAUGCUCUUUUUUAUUGGCAUAUUGAUAUUUAGGUUGUGACAGAAGCCCACAUUGAUAUUUGGGUUCUCUGCAGCUGGCCACUGC